ACUCCCUGAAAAGAAACGUCGGAACUGUGUUCUGAAAGUACUUUUCAGAGCCCUGUCGUAUUGGAAAAGUUAAGAGCCUCACAGUUCUGAAGGAAACAGAAAAUGACUGUGGGAAUCUCUCUCCCUUUCCCUGCUUCGCGAUAAUGGUUGUUCUUUCAAGUCACUCUCAAAACUGAGAAAUGAAACUUAAAAUGUUUUUAAAAGUUUCUCUAUUGUUUCUCAUUUUCUGGUUUUCUCCUGAGGUAGAAAGAGGACAACUCUUGUAAAUAAUGAAGUGAUUUUCUUGCGCAGAAAAUAGCAAAAUUGAGAAAAUCCAGUGUACUCUUGGCAAAACGUCUGUGGCUUUUUUCCUACAGGAUUCCCCCUCUCUACUUUGCAGAGAUCUUCAUUUUCUCUACCUCUGGCUGAAAGGCAUGUGUAAGGUAGAAUGUGUGUAUUGCUUACAUUUUUAUUCUUUUUUUCUCAUCCGAGGCUGACAAUUGACAGACAGAGAUGGCAAGCAGUGAUCUCAGUAUUUGAGAAUGAUUUAUAUGUCUUAUUCUCUGCCCAGUGUGAAACAAAACUUGAAACAUUUAAUUCCCUUGUGCAAUCUUUUCUUUGUGUCUGUUGCCUCUGAAAGGAAUCCUUAAGUCCCUUUCCGCUUUAGCUUAGCCCCAGGCUGCAAAGAGAGCAGAGGAAGCCAAGAAAAAGGAAAGGACAACAGACAGAGAGAGGGGCACAGGGCUGGUGGUCAGUCCCUCACUCACUGACCCAAAGCCACACUCAGCAGCAGCUGUACCAGCUCUAAAAAGAAGGAAGACUUGUAAUCCAGUGUGAGAGGUCACAGCAGAAGACACAAGAAUAAUCCAAGGACAGAUUCUGGAGCGAUAGAUGGAGAAAGCUAGGCUGGUCAGCCGAAAAGGCUAGAGAGGGCACUGCACAGAUAAAACCUUCAUGAGGACGGGCAGAGGGGGAAAGGCGGCCAGCUGGUCAUCAAGCCUUCAGAAGACAGCCUUGCCGGCCAAGGUUGCGCCGGGAAAGCCACUUUCCUUUCCCUUUGCACCUUACACACGGGUAGGAUUGUACGCCCCCUUGCUUAGGAUAUGCAUGCCCAUGUCUCCUGG
This is a long non-coding RNA of Heterocephalus glaber (naked mole-rat), 1103 nucleotides long. The record is from Ensembl. Lineage: Eukaryota; Metazoa; Chordata; Mammalia; Rodentia; Bathyergidae.